CUUAGCGUAACCUCUUCUGAGCCGAUUCAGGUGUUUCUGGGAGAAUAGAAUCUUUAAUUAUUUAUUUUUUUUCGUAGGCUAAUACAAGUAAUUGUGGACCACAAUAAGGAUUGCAGCAACGGCGUUACCAAGAAGGAAGUCACUAAGUCCAGCCCAUACUGAAGAAGAGUUGAAGAUAAAGCUCCACGUACUAGAGGGGAUAGUUUUGAUUUGACCCAGUACAUAUUUUCCUUUGAGAUCAUCACCAAGAAGCUGCAAGUGCCAUCACUGACCCAUGCUGUACAAACACUAGUGGGUCUCUGUGAAGGUGACAGUUUUUGAGACCAUUUCCUUGAAGUAGCUGCCUCUUCCCCAGAACCCUGUCCAGGUUAAGUCCACUCUUGAGGUUUUUUCCCCCCGUUCUCUGUAUGCUUUUAAAAAAAUGUUUAUUGUUGAAAUUAUUACAUAUUUCCCUUUUCCCCCUAUUGACCCUUCUAGCCUGCCCCCGGCUCACUGUGCCCCAGUCCUUCACCACCCUAUUGUCUGUGUCUUUGGAUUAUGCAUAUAUGCAUACAAGUCACUCUUGAGUUUUUAUCAAGGCGGGAAAGAUAAAGCUCCACUCCCUGGAGGGUGAGAAAAUUGUGUUGUUUGAUAUUAUAUGUUCAUAUUAAAUUGCACUGAGCA
Molecule: long non-coding RNA, 663 nt
Organism: Eptesicus fuscus (big brown bat)
Lineage: Eukaryota; Metazoa; Chordata; Mammalia; Chiroptera; Vespertilionidae
Exons: 3
Source: RefSeq, a predicted model, not a curated record